GUGCUUGCUUCAGCAGCACAUAUACUAAAAUUGGAACACACAGAGAAGAUUAGUAUGGCCCCUGUGCAAGGAUGACACAAAUUCAUUAAGCAUUCCACAAUAUUUUU
This 107-nucleotide small nuclear RNA is filed under the name Nannospalax galili (Upper Galilee mountains blind mole rat). Lineage: Eukaryota; Metazoa; Chordata; Mammalia; Rodentia; Spalacidae. The record is from RNAcentral.